This is a non-coding RNA of Heterocephalus glaber (naked mole-rat), 629 nucleotides long. Lineage: Eukaryota; Metazoa; Chordata; Mammalia; Rodentia; Bathyergidae. The record is from RefSeq and is a predicted model, not a curated record.
AGUACAUGUGCAGUUGUUCUUUUUCCAAAUAUUGUUGAACUGCAAAUAGUUGAUUCUACAGAUAAUGGGAGGGUGUCCAUCUUUAGGAAGGCUAUGAGCAGGCAGCCUCUUAGGAAUUCAGCCAAGAGGAAAAGCACUCUGAUUAUGAAUGGAACAGUAGGAAACUGAUUCCUGCAAAUGAUAGCAGCAAGACAAGAACCACGGAUCAGAGAAAUGACAGGAAGGAGGAAUGCUCCCUGCCAGUAGCCUCAUGCCAGGGAACAACUACCACAAUGUGGAGACCCAGGCACGGAGGGAAAGUCAUGGCCCUGGUGACACAACUAGAAAGGAUGCAGCAGGCUGGCAGCCUGUUCUGGGACUAAACCCACAGCUUGAAUUCUGAGCUGCUGCAUUUUGCCACCUUGCAGUGUGACAUGCUUGUCACAAGCUUGGAGUGCAGAGUUCGUGUUCUCAGCACAGCUAUUCACGUCUGAAGAUAAAGAACUUUUAUGCUGAGCCUGAGGCAGGUGUAUACACAACCAUUUAUCAAAGUCCACCUGGGUCCAGACAUCUGGUAAGCCCUGGAAGUACACAGCAGGAUCCUGCCAGUCUCUGCCCUCAUGGAGACUGGCCAGUCGGUAAUACCAGAU